AUUGAACGCUGGCGGCAUGCUUUACACAUGCAAGUCGAACGGCAGCGCGGGCUUCGGCCUGGCGGCGAGUGGCGAACGGGUGAGUAAUGCAUCGGAACGUGCCCAGUAGUGGGGGAUAGCCCGGCGAAAGCCGGAUUAAUACCGCAUACGACCUGAGGGUGAAAGCGGGGGACCGAAAGGCCUCGCGCUAUUGGAGCGGCCGAUGUCGGAUUAGCUAGUUGGUGGGGUAAAGGCUUACCAAGGCGACGAUCCGUAGCUGGUCUGAGAGGACGACCAGCCACACUGGGACUGAGACACGGCCCAGACUCCUAAGGGAGGCAGCAGUGGGGAAUUUUGGACAAUGGGGGCAACCCUGAUCCAGCCAUGCCGCGUGCGGGAAGAAGGCCUUCGGGUUGUAAACCGCUUUUGUUCGGGAAGAAAUCCUCUGGGCUAAUACCCCGGGGGGAUGACGGUACCGGAAGAAUAAGCACCGGCUAACUACAUG
Molecule: ribosomal RNA, 484 nt
Filed under: uncultured bacterium
Lineage: Bacteria
Description: partial 16S ribosomal RNA
Rfam family: Bacterial small subunit ribosomal RNA
Source: RNAcentral